GUUAAAAGCAGCGCCACAAGAAAGGCCAGAAUUGUAGGAACAGCAAUGUCACAGAGAAGUGUGGAGCUGGAAGAAAUCAAAGUAAAUGCAAGUGACCUGAGCACUGAACACAGCUAGAGUAACGAUUGGUCAAGAACAAUAUAUCAUUUGUUGGACACAUUUAAAGGAGUGAAAGGAAGAAAGUCUGGUGAAUGACCAAAUGCUCUUCCACCACCAAAGACGGUACAUGGUAUUCGUAAACCUCAGGAGAACAGAGAUCGACAUCAAGUAAAGGCAGGUUGGACAAUUGACUUCUCAGAUGUUGAUUGACUACACCAAAUAUAACUCAUGGAACCACUACAAAAAUUCCCUAUUCCCAGGAAAAAGAAUCCAACACUGUCCAUUUCAGUGGGAAGAGUACAAUCAAGCAGCUAAUUAGCAAAAUAAAGGUUCCUGGAUUGUGAGCACAGUUUCCCACAAAACAUCUUUGAGAAAGCUGACAGAUGGUCAUGUAGCAAG
Molecule: non-coding RNA, 498 nt
Organism: Chiloscyllium plagiosum (whitespotted bambooshark)
Lineage: Eukaryota; Metazoa; Chordata; Chondrichthyes; Orectolobiformes; Hemiscylliidae
Source: RefSeq, a predicted model, not a curated record